This 2903-nucleotide ribosomal RNA is filed under the name Klebsiella quasipneumoniae. RNAcentral's name for it is "23S ribosomal RNA". It matches the Rfam family "Bacterial large subunit ribosomal RNA". Lineage: Bacteria; Pseudomonadati; Pseudomonadota; Gammaproteobacteria; Enterobacterales; Enterobacteriaceae. The record is from RNAcentral.
GGUUAAGCGACUAAGCGUACACGGUGGAUGCCCUGGCAGUCAGAGGCGAUGAAGGACGUGCUAAUCUGCGAAAAGCGUCGGUAAGGUGAUAUGAACCGUUACAGCCGGCGAUGUCCGAAUGGGGAAACCCAGUGCAAUUCGUUGCACUAUCGUUAACUGAAUACAUAGGUUAACGAGGCGAACCGGGGGAACUGAAACAUCUAAGUACCCCGAGGAAAAGAAAUCAACCGAGAUUCCCCCAGUAGCGGCGAGCGAACGGGGAGCAGCCCAGAGUCUGAAUCAGCUUGUGUGUUAGUGGAACGGUCUGGAAAGUCCGACGGUACAGGGUGAUAGUCCCGUACACCAAAAUGCACAGGCUGUGAACUCGAAGAGUAGGGCGGGACACGUGGUAUCCUGUCUGAAUAUGGGGGGACCAUCCUCCAAGGCUAAAUACUCCUGACUGACCGAUAGUGAACCAGUACCGUGAGGGAAAGGCGAAAAGAACCCCGGCGAGGGGAGUGAAAAAGAACCUGAAACCGUGUACGUACAAGCAGUGGGAGCACCUUUAUGGUGUGACUGCGUACCUUUUGUAUAAUGGGUCAGCGACUUAUAUUCUGUAGCAAGGUUAACCGUAUAGGGGAGCCGCAGGGAAACCGAGUCUUAACUGGGCGUUAAGUUGCAGGGUAUAGACCCGAAACCCGGUGAUCUAGCCAUGGGCAGGUUGAAGGUUGGGUAACACUAACUGGAGGACCGAACCGACUAAUGUUGAAAAAUUAGCGGAUGACUUGUGGCUGGGGGUGAAAGGCCAAUCAAACCGGGAGAUAGCUGGUUCUCCCCGAAAGCUAUUUAGGUAGCGCCUCGUGAACUCAUCUUCGGGGGUAGAGCACUGUUUCGGCUAGGGGGUCAUCCCGACUUACCAACCCGAUGCAAACUACGAAUACCGAAGAAUGUUAUCACGGGAGACACACGGCGGGUGCUAACGUCCGUCGUGAAGAGGGAAACAACCCAGACCGCCAGCUAAGGUCCCAAAGUCAUGGUUAAGUGGGAAACGAUGUGGGAAGGCACAGACAGCCAGGAUGUUGGCUUAGAAGCAGCCAUCAUUUAAAGAAAGCGUAAUAGCUCACUGGUCGAGUCGGCCUGCGCGGAAGAUGUAACGGGGCUAAACCAUGCACCGAAGCUGCGGCAGCGACACGAUGUGUUGUUGGGUAGGGGAGCGUUCUGUAAGCCUGCGAAGGUGACCUGUGAGGGUUGCUGGAGGUAUCAGAAGUGCGAAUGCUGACAUAAGUAACGAUAAAGCGGGUGAAAAGCCCGCUCGCCGGAAGACCAAGGGUUCCUGUCCAACGUUAAUCGGGGCAGGGUGAGUCGACCCCUAAGGCGAGGCCGAAAGGCGUAGUCGAUGGGAAACAGGUUAAUAUUCCUGUACUUGGUGUUACUGCGAAGGGGGGACGGAGAAGGCUAUGUUAGCCGGGCGACGGUUGUCCCGGUUUAAGCAUGUAGGCUGGUUAUCCAGGCAAAUCCGGAUAAUCAAGGCUGAGGUGUGAUGACGAGGCACUACGGUGCUGAAGUAACAAAUGCCCUGCUUCCAGGAAAAGCCUCUAAGCAUCAGGUAACAUCAAAUCGUACCCCAAACCGACACAGGUGGUCAGGUAGAGAAUACCAAGGCGCUUGAGAGAACUCGGGUGAAGGAACUAGGCAAAAUGGUGCCGUAACUUCGGGAGAAGGCACGCUGGUGUGUAGGUGAAGUCCCUGCGGAUGGAGCUGAGACCAGUCGAAGAUACCAGCUGGCUGCAACUGUUUAUUAAAAACACAGCACUGUGCAAACACGAAAGUGGACGUAUACGGUGUGACGCCUGCCCGGUGCCGGAAGGUUAAUUGAUGGGGUUAUCCGUAAGGAGAAGCUCUUGAUCGAAGCCCCGGUAAACGGCGGCCGUAACUAUAACGGUCCUAAGGUAGCGAAAUUCCUUGUCGGGUAAGUUCCGACCUGCACGAAUGGCGUAAUGAUGGCCAGGCUGUCUCCACCCGAGACUCAGUGAAAUUGAACUCGCUGUGAAGAUGCAGUGUACCCGCGGCAAGACGGAAAGACCCCGUGAACCUUUACUAUAGCUUGACACUGAACAUUGAGCCUUGAUGUGUAGGAUAGGUGGGAGGCUUUGAAGCGUGGACGCCAGUCUGCGUGGAGCCAACCUUGAAAUACCACCCUUUAAUGUUUGAUGUUCUAACGUUGGCCCCUUAUCGGGGUUGCGGACAGUGUCUGGUGGGUAGUUUGACUGGGGCGGUCUCCUCCCAAAGCGUAACGGAGGAGCACGAAGGUUAGCUAAUCCUGGUCGGACAUCAGGAGGUUAGUGCAAUGGCAUAAGCUAGCUUGACUGCGAGCGUGACGGCGCGAGCAGGUGCGAAAGCAGGUCAUAGUGAUCCGGUGGUUCUGAAUGGAAGGGCCAUCGCUCAACGGAUAAAAGGUACUCCGGGGAUAACAGGCUGAUACCGCCCAAGAGUUCAUAUCGACGGCGGUGUUUGGCACCUCGAUGUCGGCUCAUCACAUCCUGGGGCUGAAGUAGGUCCCAAGGGUAUGGCUGUUCGCCAUUUAAAGUGGUACGCGAGCUGGGUUUAGAACGUCGUGAGACAGUUCGGUCCCUAUCUGCCGUGGGCGCUGGAGAAUUGAGGGGGGCUGCUCCUAGUACGAGAGGACCGGAGUGGACGCAUCACUGGUGUUCGGGUUGUCAUGCCAAUGGCACUGCCCGGUAGCUAAAUGCGGAAGAGAUAAGUGCUGAAAGCAUCUAAGCACGAAACUUGCCCCGAGAUGAGUUCUCCCUGAGACUUUAAGUCUCCUGAAGGAACGUUGAAGACGACGACGUUGAUAGGCCGGGUGUGUAAGCGCAGCGAUGCGUUGAGCUAACCGGUACUAAUGAACCGUGAGGCUUAACCUU